Molecule: ribosomal RNA, 425 nt
Filed under: Veillonella parvula
Lineage: Bacteria; Bacillati; Bacillota; Negativicutes; Veillonellales; Veillonellaceae
Description: bacterial SSU rRNA
Rfam family: Bacterial small subunit ribosomal RNA
Source: RNAcentral
GAGAUCGCUGGCGGCGGGCUUAACACAUGCAAGUCGAAGAAGAGCGAUGGAAGCUUGCUUUAUCAAUCUUAGUGGCGAACGGGUGAGUAACGCGUAAUCAACCUGCCCUUCAGAGGGGGACAACAGUUGGAAACGACUGCUAAUACCCAUACGAUCUAAUCUCGGCAUCGAGGAUAGAUGAAAGGUGGCCUCUACAUGUAAGCUAUCACUGAAGGAGGGGAUUGCGUCUGAUUAGCUAGUUGGAGGGGUAACGGCCCACCAAGGCGAUGAUCAGUAGCCGGUCUGAGAGGAUGAACGGCCACAUUGGGACUGAGACACGGCCCAGACUCCUACGGGAGGCAGCAGUGGGGAAUCUUCCGCAAUGGACGAAAGUCUGACGGAGCAACGCCGCGUGAGUGAUGACGGCCUUCGGGUUGUAAAGCUCU